UGGCGGACGGGUGAGUAACACGUGAGUAACCUGCCCUUCACUUCUGGAUAACUCUCGGAAACGGGGGCUAAUACAGGAUAUGACUCAAGCCUGCAUGGGUUUGGGUGGAAAGAUUUUUUGGUGGGGGAUGGGCUCGCGGCCUAUCAGCUUGAUGGUGGGGUGAUGGCCUACCAUGGCGACGACGGGUAGCCGGCCUGAGAGGGCGAUCGGCCACACUGGGACUGAGACACGGCCCAGACUCCUGCGGGAGGCAGCAGUGGGGAAUAUUGCACAAUGGGCGAAAGCCUGAUGCAGCGACGCCGCGUGAGGGAUGAAGGCCUUCGGGUUGUAAACCUCUUUCGUCAGGGAAGAAGCCUUUCGGGGUGACGGUACCUGGAGAAGAAGCACCGGCUAACUACGUGCCAGCAGCCGCGGUAAU
This 418-nucleotide ribosomal RNA is filed under the name uncultured bacterium. RNAcentral describes it as "bacterial SSU rRNA". It matches the Rfam family "Bacterial small subunit ribosomal RNA", at positions 96 to 524 of the family's 1533-position model. The record is from RNAcentral.